Molecule: unclassified non-coding RNA, 253 nt
Filed under: Hevea brasiliensis (rubber tree)
Lineage: Eukaryota; Viridiplantae; Streptophyta; Magnoliopsida; Malpighiales; Euphorbiaceae
Source: RNAcentral
GCCAAGGGAUAAUGCAGCCCAUGGUGACGCUAUUGAACGGCCAAUUGUUGCACAUAGACAUCCUGUCUACAAUGAGGACUCUAAAGAGGAAGAUGAAUAUGAACCCCAUGAAUUCCCUAAACAUUAACAGCAAGGGGAAUAUGGGAGAAGAGGUGCUCAUGGUUAUGAUGAGCGGGAAAAUAAGGAUUUUCGGCUCAAAGUUGAAAUUCCCAACUUCAAUGGGAGCUUCAACAUUGAGAUAUUUCUGGAUUGG